CAGUAGUCGAGGAUAUUUCUUUCGGUGUACACACGUUUGUGAAGUCAGUGCGGAAAAAUAAAUUAUCGAAAACAGCAAAAAAUUAAACUUAGUAAUUUGUUGAGAAAAUUUACGUUUGUCAUGAUGCAAGAAGUAACUGGUAUGUUAGAAGAAGAAUUAUCCAAACAGAAAAGAGUUUGGGUGAGAAAAUGGAUAGAUGACAGAGAUAAAAAUUGAGGUUCUGCUAUGUUGCUAAACCAGUUGAGAAUUGAAGAUCCUCGGGAAUAUAAACUGGCUUUGAGAAUGACUUCAAACAACUUCGAGGAAUUGCUUAUGUUGUUAUCGAGCUCCAUUCAGCGUCAAGACACAUUUAUGAGAGACGCCUGGCUGACCUUUGGCUGGCAGCCAAAGUGAAACUCGAAAUCACGCUGACAUUUUUGGCUUCUGGCAUGUCGUUUCGAAAUCUCAGUCACUUUUAUCGUGUCUCGAUACCGUCUAUUUCUAAGUUAAUACCGGAAGUGUGCUGGGCAAUAUAUGAGUCAUUGAAAACACAGAUUAAGAUUCCAGAUGGAGAGGAUGAAUGGAAAAUUAUCGAGUACGGAUUUAACACCAGAUGGAAUUUUCCCUCGUGUUACGGAGCAAUUGAUGGAAAGCAUAUUCCUAUCAAAGCUCCACCAAAUAGUGGAAGUAAAUUUUACAACUAUAAAAAAACAAAUAGUAUCGUUUUGAUGGCUAUUGUAGACCAUAACUACUGUUUUUUAUACAUCGAUGUUGGUGCGAAUGGCAGCGCUUCUGAUGGGGGGACUUCUUUAAAAAUUCUUCCAUUUAUCGCCGUUUAGAAGAUGGAUUACUGCCAAUGGAUGGAAUAAUUGUUGGCGAUGCAGCUUUUCCGUUAAAGACUUAUUUACUAAAACCGUAUCCAGGUACGCAACUGACUACCGGUGAAAAAAUCUUCAAUUACAGAUUAUCUCGUGCGAGGCGUAUUGUGAAAAAUGCUUUUGGAAUUCUAGUUUCCAGAUUCCGUGUGUUUGAAAAAGCAAUUCCCACCAGUUUAAAAACAGUUGAUGCAAUCGUCUGUGCAUCCUGUGCCCUUCAUAAUUGGUUGCGAAAAAAAUCUAACUCCUACAUAACACCUACUUGUGUAGACAGAGAGGACUCUGAAGGACAAAUAAUACCAGGUACUUGGAGAUCGGAAAUAACUCUAUUAACAAGUAUAACUGAUCAACUUAGAGGUAACUACUCCGUAAAUGCGAAAGAGAGAAUAGAUUUAUUAAAAGAAUACUUUAUGACGAAUGGAAGUGUACCGUGACAAUUAAACAGAAUUUAUUAAGUUA
Leptidea sinapis is the source of this 1313-nucleotide long non-coding RNA. RefSeq lists it as uncharacterized. Lineage: Eukaryota; Metazoa; Arthropoda; Insecta; Lepidoptera; Pieridae. The transcript has 2 exons. The record is from RefSeq and is a predicted model, not a curated record.